RNAcentral lists this long non-coding RNA (1350 nucleotides) under Anser cygnoides (Swan goose). Its description in RNAcentral is "lncRNA (ENSACDG00005009167.1)". Lineage: Eukaryota; Metazoa; Chordata; Aves; Anseriformes; Anatidae. The record is from RNAcentral.
AUGACGUCACACCCGCCGUGUGACGUCACACCCGCCCCCGUGGCAUCACCCCGCAGGAGCCCCCCGUGCCCGGCUCCAUCGGCGCGGCCGCAGCGGGGCCCGGGAGCUGCCCGGCCCGGUGCUCGCUUUGCCCUUUGCCAUUCGCAGAACUGGAACCCGCGUUUUCCUGCCACGUCAGCCUUCUGGGUUUUUUUCCCCCCUGAAAAAGGCUUUUCCAGAGCUCGCUGGGGGAAAGCCGUGAGGAGAUCCCCGGGGGUGCCCGGCUGGGACGCGGCCGCAGCCCCUCGCCCGUCUCAGCGGGGCCCAGAGCCCGGACUGCCACGGAGCAGCCGCCGCGGAGCCAGCAGCCGUGUGACGAGGGCAGGGCACGAAGGACCGCGCCGGGAAGAAUCAGCUUUUUGUGUUUUCUGGGACACAAACAAGCCUGGGAGGAGCGCCGCAGGGUCCGGCGCGGGGCAGCGGGGCCGAGCUCACGCGAGGGGCUGCGGGGCGCUCGUUUCUUCCGCCCCCGUGGGCCGAUACCAGCCCCGCUUUCGCUCACGGGGCGGUUUUAUGAGCACGGCCCACGGCGCGGUGGCUGGACGAGGGACGUUCCCCCGCCGCUGCCCGGGCUCGUUUUGGGGAUGGGGGCAGCACCGGGGGACCGGGGCAGCAGCUCGGGGGCUCGGUGGGCAGAGCCAGAGCCAGGCACGGCUGCAGGAAGCGUCCCUGCGGGGCGAAGUCCACAGCUCCCCGCAUCUGUUCCUCCGCCUGCGGGGCCGGGCUGACCCCGCCGAUCCCGGUGGCUGCCGUGCCACAAGGCAGGGGCUCAGCUCCUCCGAGCGCUGGCGUUAUCCCAGCACCGGUCUUCCAGAGCUUCCCUUCCUGCGUCCGUUUGGCAGGAGCAAAAGAGGAACAAAACGAACAGGCCCGGCCUUUUCCCCUCCGCAGAGGGCCGAGGCUGGCAGCUGGGACGUCGGCGGCAGCAGGUUGCUGCGCGUGGCUUGGCCAGGCUGCAGGGACACGCAGACCGUCCCCGCCGCCGAGCUGAGCAGAAAGCCAGCGCUUUCAGCCCAACGGAGCGCUGGAAGCGGCCCCGUGCCAGGGCGCUCCCCCCCCGGCGGCAGCUGUUUCCCCCGCAGCACACAAGGCCGUUUUGUUCGGGGUGAGGCUGUGACCUCGUGGAGCAGGACGGAGCGAGCGGCCCCACGGCCCCGCAGGCCCGGGCUGCCCUCCCGAGGUACCAGGCGCAGGGCAGAGCCCGAGGCUGCGCAGCCCUGCGCUAAGCCCCGCUUCCUGCCGCGCCUGCAGCAGCCUCAGGGGCUGAGACGUUGUUUCGAGGAUCAGGAGGGAGAUGGCUGCAGGAGGUAA